Molecule: transfer RNA, 89 nt
Filed under: Coemansia sp. RSA 518
Lineage: Eukaryota; Fungi; Kickxellomycota; Kickxellomycetes; Kickxellales; Kickxellaceae
Also listed under: 4 other names
Description: tRNA-Tyr
Rfam family: tRNA
About the family: Transfer RNA (tRNA) molecules are approximately 80 nucleotides in length.
Source: RNAcentral
CCGAAAAUAGCUCAGCGGUAGAGCGGGAGACUGUAGUGGACAACAACCAAGAUAUCUCUAGGUCCCUGGUUCAAAUCCGGGUUUUCGGA